Molecule: long non-coding RNA, 485 nt
Organism: Sceloporus undulatus (fence lizard)
Lineage: Eukaryota; Metazoa; Chordata; Lepidosauria; Squamata; Phrynosomatidae
Exons: 3
Source: RefSeq, a predicted model, not a curated record
UCCCCUGCCUCUGCUGGACUGUCACUGGGGAGGAGGGGAGGCUCUCUCUUUCUGUCUCAUUCACAGACACAGACACACACACUGUGUGCCAUCGUUUCAAGGUGAGAGGGGGCGGCGAAAGUGUCCCCUCCGGAGAGGAUCAAGAAAGAGACUCCUUGAUGUCGUUGACAAGAAUGCCACCCAGGAAGGGGACUUUUCCAAACGUCAAGUGAGAGGGGACAAAAACUGGAGGAUUUCUCGUCUGAUUGUAAAUGAACUACAGACAGCAUCCAUAAAGGAUGCUGCAAUUAACCAAUAAGGCAUGACAGAGAAUAUGACCAUCGGCGCAGGAUAAUCGUGUCCUUGGGGUAAAGCAGAAAAUGAAGAACAGAUGAGUACUUGGAAUUCCCUAAGGGAGUGAUUAACCCAUGAUAGCUGUAGCUACUGGAGAGGCCACAUUGCUAUUACAAAUUGUUUUGCUUUCAUGUAAAAUAUGUAUGAUUUAA